CACGUAGGGGACGAGCGUUGUUCGGAAUUACUGGGCGUAAAGGGCAUGUAGGCGGCCUUGUAAGCUUGGCGUGAAAGUCAUCGGCUUAACCGAUGGAUUGCGUCGAGAACUGCAGGGCUUGAAUCACGGAGAGGGAGCUAGAAUUCCAGGUGUAGGGGUGAAAUCUGUAGAGAUCUGGAAGAAUACCAGUGGCGAAGGCGAGCUCCUGGCCGAUGAUUGACGCUGAGGUGCGAAAGUGUGGGGAU
Molecule: ribosomal RNA, 245 nt
Filed under: uncultured bacterium
Lineage: Bacteria
Description: partial 16S ribosomal RNA
Rfam family: Bacterial small subunit ribosomal RNA
Source: RNAcentral